AUCGCUCGUAUCUGGUCGGUACCGACGGGGAAUUCGGUGUGUCGGAGGUUAUAUACUAUACACGGAGGCCCCGAUGACGAUGACGCGGCCAGAACGCAAAUCCGUGGCAUCAUUCCCACUCGGCGGGGCGGAAAACGCCCCGAGAUGUGCGGGUUAAGUGGUUUCUUUGCCUGGGACACGCAGUAAGCACAGGCAAUCGGUGGUGGGUACUUCCAAAUACAGGCGAUUGCAGUACAGUCGAAAUACAUUUCCGAAAACGUAUACCUCCUAUUAAAAAUGCAUGUAUCUGAACAGUUUAAAUCGGCUACUGUAGCCAAUGACUCACUAAAUCCUGGUCAUGUUAUUAUCCAAAAUACAGGCAUUUCAUUGGGCAA
This is a long non-coding RNA of Drosophila sechellia, 374 nucleotides long. RefSeq lists it as uncharacterized. The record is from RefSeq and is a predicted model, not a curated record. NCBI's taxonomy places the organism in Eukaryota, Metazoa, Arthropoda, Insecta, Diptera, Drosophilidae. The transcript is spliced from 2 exons.